GUUGUAGAUGAACGGACGAAACUUCUAGUUCAGGCAGCAUCGCUUAUAGCUGUGGUUCAGGCCUGGAUCCUGUUGGUCCAUAAGAGAGUUGUUCAUCGGAAUGGGAAACCUCUCAUUCGGUAUGGUCCAAUGUUAACCAGGGAUCGGAGGAUAGCAAAUCUGAAUUACAUCUACAACUGCAACGAUACAGAGGCUCUGUGGAUGCUUCGAAUGAGAAGAGCACCUUUCGCCAGGCUUGUGCACAAGUUCAGGGGCAGGGGGCUGCUAGAAGAUAAUAUCCACACCACUGUGGAAGAGCAAGCGGCCAUAUUCCUCCAUGUUGUUGGUCAUAACCAGAGGUUCAGGGUUACACACAACGCCUUCAGGAGAACAAUGGAGACCAUCUCCAUGUACUUCAAGCAAGUUCUGUAUGCUGUCGGGGGGCUCAGAGGAGAGAUGAUCAGGUCACCAACUGGUCGGACUCCUACCAAGAUUCGCACUAGCCCAAGAUGGUAUCCAUACUUCAAGGUGAGCACUAACAGUAUGUAG
This 528-nucleotide ribosomal RNA is filed under the name Triticum aestivum (bread wheat). RNAcentral's name for it is "partial small subunit ribosomal RNA". The record is from RNAcentral. Lineage: Eukaryota; Viridiplantae; Streptophyta; Magnoliopsida; Poales; Poaceae.